RNAcentral lists this ribosomal RNA (497 nucleotides) under uncultured bacterium. RNAcentral's name for it is "partial 16S ribosomal RNA". It matches the Rfam family "Bacterial small subunit ribosomal RNA", at positions 28 to 507 of the family's 1533-position model. The record is from RNAcentral.
GACGAACGCUGGCGGCGUGCUUAAUACAUGCAAGUCGAGCGAAAAGACGCGGAGCUUGUUCCUUUGUCGAUUGCGGCGGACGGGUGAGUCACACGAGGAACAUCCCCCUAUCAGUCUGGGAACACUUCGGGACUCCGGCGCUAAUACCGGAUGAUCUCUUGAACCGCAUGGUUCAAUAGUGAAAGACGGCUUUGCUGUAUGUUCUCGCUGGAUCUGCGCCGGAUUGGCUAGUUGGGACGGUAACGGGUUAUCAAGGCGACGAUGCGUAGCCGACGUGAGAGAGGGAUCGGCCACACUGGAACGUGGACGCGGACCAGACGCCUGCGGGAGGCAGCAGUAGGGAACCUGCCGCAAUGGUCGAGAGCCUUACAGAGCAAGGGCACGUGAGAUAUGAAGGUCUUCGGAGCGUAAAACUCUGUUAUGAGGUAAGAACAAAUUUGGAAGUAACUAUGCACGGCGUGACGGUACCUAAUCAGAAAGCAACGGCUAACUACGUG